This 947-nucleotide long non-coding RNA is filed under the name Trifolium pratense (red clover). RNAcentral describes it as "long non-coding RNA (TPRA_LNC004793)". Lineage: Eukaryota; Viridiplantae; Streptophyta; Magnoliopsida; Fabales; Fabaceae. The record is from RNAcentral.
AGCUCUCACACUCUCUGCAACUGUACUUACAACAGCAAAAGGAGCUUCUACAUGCACACAUGAAAUGUUUUUAUAUGGAAUAUUUUAGGGCAAUAAAUUUCUAGAUUCAAAAGAAAAUGAAUCUAUAUAUGUUAACUUUCCUGUCUAAAACCAAAGGUCCAAAGCAACAUCUAGUAAUAUAAAGAAGGCAACUAUAAAAUAUGAUAAUCAAGGACUCACUUCAUGUCUUUUCUUCCCAUUCAUGAUCUGGACAAUAACUCUGUGAAGUCAACUGCAGACCGGGUAAAGCCUGAAAGUAUAAAACAAAUUUAUCAAGAUUGCGCAAUCCAAAGCCUUUAAAACAGAAGUUUCAGGUGAAUUUAGCUUGCAAACAAAAUGUAUAUCGAUUCUUGAAAUAUAAUACAAUCCCAAAUUUUCUACAACAGAGGCGGCUGCAUGCUGCAUCUAAGAGUUUAGUUCCAUGAGACUGAAUAACAUGGCCUGAAAUGAAGUGACUCACUUUACUUAACACGGGGCAGCAGAGCAAGAAAAACAAUUGCUCUAAAGUUAAAAAUAAUUAAAAAUUAUAUCGGGUAGAUGAGAAACAAAAACUAUAUUUAAAAGUAGUAAUCUGGGAGUGAGAAACAAUGCCAUCAUGUUGACCAAAAUUAAAUGAUAAAUUUGGAGCACUAUACAACUUCACAUGUAACACAUUGAAUUGGAAAAUUAAAACUUUAAAUUAAAACAACACAUAGAAGCUAUAUAUAAGUUGUGUUUAAGACAGAGUAAAUAAGCUUACCUAAUAUAAUCAUCAUGAGGCACGAAAAUUGCAUUUAGAGGACCAAAAUAGCCAAAUAGUCUACAAAUCUUUUGGCCUGCAAAGUGCAAAUAGAGUAUUACAGUUUAUUUCAUACAGAUUUUGCAAAAAUUUAAAUAAAUCAUAUAAAAAAAUAUGAUGAAGAAAUUUA